This 74-nucleotide transfer RNA is filed under the name Gammaproteobacteria bacterium. Its description in RNAcentral is "tRNA-Cys". It matches the Rfam family "tRNA". Rfam says of the family: Transfer RNA (tRNA) molecules are approximately 80 nucleotides in length. Their secondary structure includes four short double-helical elements and three loops (D, anti-codon, and T loops). The record is from RNAcentral. Lineage: Bacteria; Pseudomonadati; Pseudomonadota; Gammaproteobacteria.
GGCAAGGUGGCAGAGUGGUUAUGCAGCGGCCUGCAAAGCCGUGUACGUCGGUUCAAUUCCGAUCCUUGCCUCCA